CUUUGGUUCUAUUUUGUUGGUUUCUAGGACCGAGGUAAUGAUUAAUAGGGACAGUUGGGGGCAUUAGUAUUUAAUUGUCAGAGGUGAAAUUCUUGGAUUUAUGAAAGACUAACUUCUGCGAAAGCAUUUGCCGAGGAUGUUUUCAUUAAUCAAGAACGAAAGUUAGGGGAUCGAAGACGAUCAGAUACCGUCGUAGUCUUAACCAUAAACUAUGCCGACUAGGGAUCGGACGACGUUACAUCAUUGACUCGUUCGGCACCUUAUGAGAAAUCUUGAGUUUUUGGGUUCCGGGGGGAGUAUGGUCGCAAGGCUGAAACUUAAAGGAAUUGACGGAAGGGCACCACCAGGAGUGGAGCCUGCGGCUUAAUUUGACUCAACACGG
RNAcentral lists this ribosomal RNA (382 nucleotides) under uncultured fungus. RNAcentral's name for it is "SSU rRNA". It matches the Rfam family "Eukaryotic small subunit ribosomal RNA", at positions 828 to 1208 of the family's 1831-position model. Lineage: Eukaryota; Fungi. The record is from RNAcentral.